UCUCCAAUGACGAAGCUAGCCAAAGAGGCCGUUAAGCUUCCGGAGAAGCCGUCGAUAUGCACCGCCGACAAGCUCCACUACGUCUCCGUGCCCACCUCCGAUUGAAGGCUCGCCCUCUUGUGAUACCGCCUUUGCCCCACUGCCCCUCAGAGGAAUCACCCAUUGCUGCUAUUGUCUGGGUAUAGGCUGCUGCAUUCCUUUCAUUGGGUAUAGCUGCUGUAAGGUGCUGCGUUCUUUUCUCUUCCUCUCUUAGAGUCUCAGAGAUCGAAGGCUUCUACUCUUCGUCUUCAAUUUGGGGUUAUGGAAGGGACAUCUGAGACUCCCAAUUCCACUCCCAUGCAUACUCCAACUAAUGGUUCCAGCACUGGAACCACUCCAACACCCACACCCACACCUACUCAGAUGGUGGAUCAAGGUUAUCAACAAGGAGCUGCAGCACUGCCUAGUUGGAUGAACAGACUAAUACUUAAUAGGACAUGCUAAGUCGGAAGCUAUAGACAAGCUCUUUGAAGUACACUAGCAUAGCUGUGGUUUGCAAAUGAGUCAAGAGACUUAUGAAUGAGAAAAUUUAUCUCCUUCAAAUUGUGACUAAAAUAUGUAAGUUUCAUCAACUUACUUGUGCUCCUGUAGACCGCUUGAGCUUUGAAAUGGUUGCUCAGAGAUAAUGCAAGUGUUGAUGCUGCUUUGGAGAAGUAAUAGAUAUAGUUUCUGGAUGUUUUGGAGAAGUAAUAGGUUUGUAGGGUUUGUAUUACUAGCACACAAGUACAUAACCUUGUUAGUUGAUAAUGUAUUACUUGUGCAAUUUUGCAAUAUAUUACAAACAUUACUUGUAUUUAUGCUUGUUCUUGUAUUACUUUUGCGAGCAGUUAAAAGAUGAAGGAACUUAUUGUUACA
Long non-coding RNA from Rosa rugosa (rugosa rose), 894 nucleotides. RefSeq lists it as uncharacterized. The record is from RefSeq and is a predicted model, not a curated record. NCBI's taxonomy places the organism in Eukaryota, Viridiplantae, Streptophyta, Magnoliopsida, Rosales, Rosaceae. The transcript has 4 exons.